Molecule: ribosomal RNA, 655 nt
Filed under: uncultured fungus
Lineage: Eukaryota; Fungi
Description: eukaryotic LSU rRNA
Rfam family: 5.8S ribosomal RNA (bases 222-375)
Source: RNAcentral
CUUGGUCAUUUAGAGGAAGUAAAAGUCGUAACAAGGUUUCCGUAGGUGAACCUGCGGAAGGAUCAUUAGUGAAUAUAGGACGUCCAACUUAACUUGGAGUCCGAACUCUCACUUUCUAACCCUGUGCACUUGUUUGGGAUAGUAACUCUCGCAAGAGAGCGAACUCCUAUUCACUUAUAAACACAAAGUCUAUGAAUGUAUUAAAUUUUAUAACAAAAUAAAACUUUCAACAACGGAUCUCUUGGCUCUCGCAUCGAUGAAGAACGCAGCGAAAUGCGAUAAGUAAUGUGAAUUGCAGAAUUCAGUGAAUCAUCGAAUCUUUGAACGCACCUUGCGCUCCAUGGUAUUCCGUGGAGCAUGCCUGUUUGAGUGUCAUGAAUACUUCAACCCUCCUCUUUCUUAAUGAUUGAAGAGGUGUUUGGUUUCUGAGCGCUGCUGGCCUUUACGGUCUAGCUCGUUCGUAAUGCAUUAGCAUCCGCAAUCGAACUUCGGAUUGACUUGGCGUAAUAGACUAUUCGCUGAGGAAUUCUAGUCUUCGGACUAGAGCCGGGUUGGGUUAAAGGAAGCUUCUAAUCAGAAUGUCUACAAUUUUAAGAUUAGAUCUCAAAUCAGGUAGGACUACCCGCUGAACUUAAGCAUAUCAAUGAGCGGAGGA